RNAcentral lists this ribosomal RNA (230 nucleotides) under uncultured bacterium. RNAcentral describes it as "partial 16S ribosomal RNA". It matches the Rfam family "Bacterial small subunit ribosomal RNA", at positions 118 to 347 of the family's 1533-position model. The record is from RNAcentral.
UGGGUGAUCUGCCCUGCACUUCGGGAUAAGCCUGGGAAACUGGGUCUAAUACCGGAUAUGACCUUGGGAUGCAUGUCCUUUGGUGGAAAGCUUUUGCGGUGUGGGAUGGGCCCGCGGCCUAUCAGCUUGUUGGUGGGGUUAAGGCCUACCAAGGCGACGACGGGUAGCCGGCCUGAGAGGGUGACCGGCCACACUGGGACUGAGAUACGGCCCAGACUCCUACGGGAGCA